AGUCAAGUAAUUAAGUGCAUGUGGUGGAUGCCUUGGCAGUCAGAGGCGAAGAAAGACGUGAUAGCCUGCGAAAAGCUCCGGGGAGGCGGCAAAUAUCCUUUGAUCCGGAGAUAUCUGAAUGGGGGAACCCACCUACCUUAAGGUAGGUAUUGCAACAUGAAUACAUAGUGUUGCAAGGCGAACGAGGGGAAGUGAAACAUCUCAGUACCCUUAGGAAAAGAAAUCAAUUGAGAUUCCCUCAGUAGCGGCGAGCGAAAGGGGAAAAGCCCAUUAAGUUAUGUGUGUUUUAGUGGAAUGCUCUGGGAAGUGCAACCAUAGUGGGUGAUAGUCCUGUACACGAAAGGGCACACAUAAUGAUGACGAGUAGGGCGAGGCACGUGAAACCUUGUCUGAAUAUGGGGGGACCAUCCUCCAAGGCUAAAUACUCCUGACUGACCGAUAGUGAACCAGUACCGUGAGGGAAAGGCGAAAAGAACUUGAAGGUUGGGUAACACUAACUGGAGGACCGAACCCACUGUCGUUGAAAAGCCAGGGGAUGACUUGUGGAUAGGGGUGAAAGGCUAAUCAAACUCGGUGAUAGCUGGUUCUCCCCGAAAGCUAUUUAGGUAGCGCCUCGGACGAAUACCAUUGGGGGUAGAGCACUGUUUCGGCUAGGGGGUCAUCCCGACUUACCAAACCGAUGCAAACUCCGAAUACCAAUGAGUACUAUCCGGGAGACAGACUGCGGGUGCUAACGUCCGUAGUCAAGAGGAAAACAAUCCAGACCGCCAGCUAAGGCCCCAAAAUCAUAGUUAAGUGGGAAACGAUGUGGGAAGGCAUAGACAGCUAGGAGGUUGGCUUAGAAGCAGCCACCCUUUAAAGAAAGCGUAAUAGCUCACUAGUCGAGUCGGCCUGCGCGGAAGAUGUAACGGGGCUAAAACUAUGUGCCGAAGCUGCGGAUGCAUAAUUUAUUAUGCGUGGUAGGGGAGCGUUCUGUAAGCCGAAGAAGGUGUAUUGAGAAGUAUGCUGGAGGUAUCAGAAGUGCGAAUGCUGACGUGAGUAACGACAAAACGGGUGAAAAACCCGUUCGCUGAAAGACCAAGGGUUCCAGUCCAACGUUAAUCGGGGCUGGGUGAGUCGACCCCUAAGGCGAGGCCGAGAGGCGUAGUCGAUGGGAAAUUGGUUAAUAUUCCAAUACUUCAGUGUAAUGCGAUGAGAGGACGGAGAAGGUUAAGUCAGCCUGGCGUUGGUAGUCCAGGUGAAAGGAAGUAGGCAUGCAUCUUAGGCAAAUCCGGGGUGCUCUAUGCUGAGAUCUGAUAGCAAGCUGUACUUGUACAGUGAAGUGGCUGAUACCCUGCUUCCAGGAAAAGUCUCUAAGCUUCAGUUACACUGGAAUCGUACCCGAAACCGACACAGGUGGUCAGGUCGAGUAGACCAAAGCGCUUGAGAGAACUCUGCUGAAGGAACUAGGCAAAAUGGUACCGUAACUUCGGGAGAAGGUACGCUGUUGACGGUGAUGGGACUUGCUCCCUGAGCGGUUGACAGCCUCAGAAACCAGGCCGCUGCAACUGUUUAUUAAAAACAUAGCACUCUGCAAACACGAAAGUGGACGUAUAGGGUGUGAUGCCUGCCCGGUGCUGGAAGGUUAAUUGAUGGGGUUAGCGUAAGCGAAGCUCUUGAUCGAAGCCCCAGUAAACGGCGGCCGUAACUAUAACGGUCCUAAGGUAGCGAAAUUCCUUGUCGGGUAAGUUCCGACCUGCACGAAUGGCAUAAUGAUGGCGGCGCUGUCUCCAGCAGAGGCUCAGUGAAAUCGAAUUCGCCGUGAAGAUGCGGUGUACCCGCGGCUAGACGGAAAGACCCCGUGAACCUUUACUGCAGCUUGACAUUGAACUUUGACCUUACUUGUGUAGGAUAGGUGGGAGGCUUUGAAACUUGGACGCUAGUCCGAGUGGAGCCGUCCUUGAAAUACCACCCUGGUAAUGUUGAGGUUCUAACUCUGUCCCGUUAUCCGGGACGAGGACCAUGUCUGGUGGGUAGUUUGACUGGGGCGGUCUCCUCCUAAAGAGUAACGGAGGAGUACGAAGGUGCGCUCAGCGUGGUCGGAAAUCACGCGUAGAGUAUAAAGGCAAAAGCGCGCUUAACUGCGAGACCCACAAGUCGAGCAGGUACGAAAGUAGGUCUUAGUGAUCCGGUGGUUCUGUAUGGAAGGGCCAUCGCUCAACGGAUAAAAGGUACUCUGGGGAUAACAGGCUGAUACCGCCCAAGAGUUCAUAUCGACGGCGGUGUUUGGCACCUCGAUGUCGGCUCAUCUCAUCCUGGGGCUGAAGCAGGUCCCAAGGGUAUGGCUGUUCGCCAUUUAAAGAGGUACGCGAGCUGGGUUUAGAACGUCGUGAGACAGUUCGGUCCCUAUCUACCGUGGGCGCUGGAAAUUUGAGAGGAUCUGCUCCUAGUACGAGAGGACCAGAGUGGACGAACCUCUGGUGUACCGGUUGUGACGCCAGUCGCAUCGCCGGGUAGCUAUGUUCGGAAGGGAUAACCGCUGAAAGCAUCUAAGCGGGAAGCCUACCUCAAGAUAAGAUUUCCCCGAGGCUUUAUGCCUCCUAAAGAGCCGUUGAAGACUACGACGUUGAUAGGUUGGAUGUGGAAGCAUAGCGAUAUGUGAAGCUGACCAAUACUAAUUGCUCGUGAGGCUUGACUAU
Non-coding RNA from Acinetobacter towneri, 2678 nucleotides. The record is from Rfam. NCBI's taxonomy places the organism in Bacteria, Pseudomonadati, Pseudomonadota, Gammaproteobacteria, Moraxellales, Moraxellaceae.